UGCAUUAACUACUGUAAGUCGCUCUGGAUAAAAGUGUCUGCUAAAUGACUAAAA
Salmo salar (Atlantic salmon) is the source of this 54-nucleotide non-coding RNA. The record is from Rfam. NCBI's taxonomy places the organism in Eukaryota, Metazoa, Chordata, Actinopteri, Salmoniformes, Salmonidae.